RNAcentral lists this ribosomal RNA (253 nucleotides) under uncultured bacterium. RNAcentral's name for it is "partial 16S ribosomal RNA". It matches the Rfam family "Bacterial small subunit ribosomal RNA", at positions 524 to 776 of the family's 1533-position model. The record is from RNAcentral.
UACGUAGGGUGCAAGCGUUGUCCGGAAUUAUUGGGCGUAAAGAGCUCGUAGGCGGUCUGUCGCGUCGGCUGUGAAAACCCGGGGCUCAACCCCGGGCCUGCAGUCGAUACGGGCAGACUAGAGUGUGGUAGGGGAGACUGGAAUUCCUGGUGUAGCGGUGAAAUGCGCAGAUAUCAGGAGGAACACCGGUGGCGAAGGCGGGUCUCUGGGCCGAUACUGACGCUGAGGUGCGAAAGCGUGGGGAGCAAACAGG